RNAcentral lists this ribosomal RNA (569 nucleotides) under Saccharomyces sp. IFO 11060. Its description in RNAcentral is "eukaryotic LSU rRNA". It matches the Rfam family "Eukaryotic large subunit ribosomal RNA", at positions 62 to 647 of the family's 3401-position model. Lineage: Eukaryota; Fungi; Ascomycota; Saccharomycetes; Saccharomycetales; Saccharomycetaceae. The record is from RNAcentral.
AAACCAACCGGGAUUGCCUUAGUAACGGCGAGUGAAGCGGCAAAAGCUCAAAUUUGAAAUCUGGUACCUUCGGUGCCCGAGUUGUAAUUUGUAGAGGGCGACUUUGGGGCGGCUCCUUGUCUAUGUUCCUUGGAACAGGACGUCAUAGAGGGUGAGAAUCCCGUGUGGCGAGGAGUGCGGUUCCGUGUAAAGCGCUUUCGAAGAGUCGAGUUGUUUGGGAAUGCAGCUCUAAGUGGGUGGUAAAUUCCAUCUAAAGCUAAAUAUUGGCGAGAGACCGAUAGCGAACAAGUACAGUGAUGGAAAGAUGAAAAGAACUUUGAAAAGAGAGUGAAAAAGUACGUGAAAUUGUUGAAAGGGAAGGGCAUUUGAUCAGACAUGGUGUUUUGUGCCCCUCGCUCCUUGUGGGUGGGGGAAUCUCGCAGCUCACUGGGCCAGCAUCAGUUUUGGCGGUCGGAUAAAUCCAAGGGAAUGUAACUUGCUUCGGGAAGUAUUAUAGCCCUCGGGAAUACGGCCAGCCGGGACUGAGGAACGCGAUUCGUCAAGGAUGCUGGCAUAAUGGUUAUAUGCCG